This is a long non-coding RNA of Fundulus heteroclitus (mummichog), 468 nucleotides long. RefSeq lists it as uncharacterized. The transcript is spliced from 3 exons. Lineage: Eukaryota; Metazoa; Chordata; Actinopteri; Cyprinodontiformes; Fundulidae. The record is from RefSeq and is a predicted model, not a curated record.
CCCGGUGAAUGCUCCGCGUGUGUGACUGGUGAAGUCAACCCGACGAAAAAAAACUAUUUAUGUUCCCGGUUUGGGGCAUGAACAUUUUCGGUAAGGAGCAAAUAGGUUUGAAGAGUGACCUAAGUGGAUUUGUGUUUCCCGGAGUCGGAGAGGAGCGGAGGGCAGAGCGGAUAGUGUUGAUAUCAGGAGGCCCGUGAGUGUGACCCACGCCGUCUUGGACAUCCCAGGGCUGGUCGACCUUCGCGAGUGUGUGAAAGAUCAAAAGUAAAGACUCUGUGCCUUUCACAAAGCAAGUAGUGAAAGUGAAGCUGGUGGGAAACUCUGCUCUGGAUCUGAAUGACCCUGCUGUCCUGGAAAACCUGCAGGAGGAGCUCAAACAGAAGAUAAGGGAGCAGGGCGUGGAUGCAGAAAUCAGGCUGAGCUGGAAGAAACAAGUGGAUGGAAAGAUCUUCUACAAGGAGAAGGAGG